UUUAUAAAUUAUGAUUAAUUAUUAUUAAUUAAAAAUAAUUGAUAUUAUAAAUUAUUAUAAAUAAAUAAAAAAUUAUUUUGAAUAAAUUAUUUUUUUUAAAUAAAGUAAUAUAUUAAAAUUUAAUUGUUUAAGUAUAAAUUAAGAAAAAAUUUUUUAAAUAUUAACUUAAAGUAAUGAAAAUGAAAAUUUUAAAUAAAUUAAAAAUAGAUUUAAUUAAUUGUACCUUUUGUAUCAGGGUUAAUUAAAUAAAAUAUUUUAAUUAAAUAUUUCUCGAAUUUAAAAGAUUUAAUUAAAAAUUUUAGUUAAUGUAGAAUUAUCAUUAAUAAUUUUUAAUUAGAAGUGAAAUGUUAAUCGAUUUUAAAUAUAUCUAGUUUUUUUAGAAUUGAAUAUAAUUCAGUCUUAUAAAUUAUUUUUAAUUAAUUUAUUAUUAGAUUAUUAUAAAUAAUUGAUUUAUAAGAUAAAUAUUUUUGGGAUAAACUAAAAAUAUAUUAAAUAUUAGUUUUAAUUAUAAAAUUUAUUAUAUAAAUAUUCAUAAGAUUUGAAUUUUUUAUUAAAAAUGUUAUAAUUUAUAAAUAAAUACUAUUAUAAUUUUUUAAAAAUUUUAUUUUUAUAAAAAAAAAUUAUUUAAUAAUUAGAUAAAGGAUAUAAUGAUUAAAUUAGUAAAAUUUUAUUAAUGUAAUUUUUUUUUUUUUUUGAAAAAAUUAAUUUAAGGAAUUCAACAAAUAUUUUUAAAAAUAAAAUAUAUAUUCACCUGUUUAUCAAAAACAUGUCCUGUAGAAUAUUAAUAUCAGGUUUACUCUGCCCAUUGAAUAUAGAUUUUAAAAGGCUGCAGUAUAUUGACUGUACAAAGGUAGCAAAAUCAAUAGUUUUUUAAUUGGAAACUGGAAUGAAAGAGUGGAUGAAAUAUAAGUUGUCUCAAUAUAAUUAUUUGAAUUUAAAUUAAAAGUUAAAAUGCUUUUAUAUAAUUAUUAGACGAGAAGACCCUAUAGAAUUUUAUAAAAUUUAUUUUCUAAAUUAUUUUUGUUUUUUAUAUUUAUUAAAUAAUUAUAUUUUACUGGGAGGGUAAUUAAAUUUAAUUAACUUUAAUACAAUUUUACAUAGAUAAAUGAAAUUUUGAUUAUUAUUAUAAUUAUUAGAAUAAAUUACCUUAGGGAUAACAGCGUAAUAAUUUUGGAGAGUUCAUAUCGAUAAAAUUGUUUGCGACCUCGAUGUUGAAUUAUGAUAAAAAUUAAAUGGAGAUAUUUAAAAUUUUAGUCUGUUCGACUAUUAAAAUCAUACAUGAUUUGAGUUCAGAUCGGUGUAAGCCAGAUCGGUUUCUAUCUAUAAUAAAAAUAUAUUUUAUUGUACGAAAGGACUUAAAAUAUUAAAAAAUUUAUAUUUAAAUUUAUUAAAAUAAUAAUAAAUUAUUGAAUAAAAUUAAAUUAAUAAUUAAU
This 1433-nucleotide ribosomal RNA is filed under the name Vespula rufa. Its description in RNAcentral is "16S ribosomal RNA". The record is from RNAcentral. Lineage: Eukaryota; Metazoa; Arthropoda; Insecta; Hymenoptera; Vespidae.